Molecule: ribosomal RNA, 488 nt
Filed under: Veillonella dispar
Lineage: Bacteria; Bacillati; Bacillota; Negativicutes; Veillonellales; Veillonellaceae
Description: bacterial SSU rRNA
Rfam family: Bacterial small subunit ribosomal RNA
Source: RNAcentral
GACGAACGCUGGCGGCGUGCUUAACACAUGCAAGUCGAACGAAGAGCGAUGGAAGCUUGCUUCCAUCAAUCUUAGUGGCGAACGGGUGAGUAACGCGUAAUCAACCUGCCCUCCAGAGGGGGACAACAGUUGGAAACGACUGCUAAUACCGCAUACGAUCUAACCUUGGCAUCGAGGAUGGAUGAAAGGUGGCCUCUAUUUAUAAGCUAUCACUGAAGGAGGGGAUUGCGUCUGAUUAGCUAGUUGGAGGGGUAACGGCCCACCAAGGCGAUGAUCAGUAGCCGGUCUGAGAGGAUGAACGGCCACAUUGGGUUGAGACACGGCCCAGACUCCUACGGGAGGCAGCAGUGGGGAAUCUUCCGCAAUGGACGAAAGUCUGACGGAGCAACGCCGCGUGAGUGAUGACGGCCUUCGGGUUGUAAAGCUCUGUUAAUCGGGACGAAAGGCCUUCUUGCGAAUAGUAGAAGGAAUGACGGACCGGAAAAAAG